Molecule: transfer RNA, 70 nt
Filed under: Laimosemion breviceps
Lineage: Eukaryota; Metazoa; Chordata; Actinopteri; Cyprinodontiformes; Rivulidae
Description: tRNA-Val
Rfam family: tRNA
About the family: Transfer RNA (tRNA) molecules are approximately 80 nucleotides in length.
Source: RNAcentral
CAGAGCAUAGCUAAAUUUAUAGCCCUUCCCUUACACUGAAAAGUUGCCCGUGCAAACCAGGCUGUUCUGA